UUCUUGGAGCAGCUGCAAAUUCACAGAAAGUUAAAGCAAAGGCUGAAGGCUUCAGUUCCAGCCAUUAUCCUUAAUCAUGUGAGAUAAUUCAAUAA
This is a long non-coding RNA of Sinocyclocheilus grahami, 95 nucleotides long. RefSeq lists it as uncharacterized. The record is from RefSeq and is a predicted model, not a curated record. Lineage: Eukaryota; Metazoa; Chordata; Actinopteri; Cypriniformes; Cyprinidae. The transcript has 3 exons.